AGAAGGGUAAAAGGAUCCAGUUCCUGCUCUUUUCCUACAUAUGUAGAUGCAACAUUUGGGAAGUAGGACAAGUACAAUAGCCAUUAAUCCUCCAACUCGUCUGCCAUACCGCUGGUGGAUUACAACAGUUUGCAGCUGGCCACAGUUAUGUCUAAGCUUAAUGCAGUCUACCUUUGGAAAAACAUGCCUUGUAUACCUCAGGAUUCUGGAAAGGAGUGGAAAUGGAGGGAAUACACACAGGAACUGGUAAUUCUCUGAGACGAAGCACUUGCCAAGGAUAUUGGG
Molecule: non-coding RNA, 285 nt
Organism: Chiloscyllium plagiosum (whitespotted bambooshark)
Lineage: Eukaryota; Metazoa; Chordata; Chondrichthyes; Orectolobiformes; Hemiscylliidae
Source: RefSeq, a predicted model, not a curated record